Molecule: ribosomal RNA, 451 nt
Filed under: uncultured bacterium
Lineage: Bacteria
Description: partial 16S ribosomal RNA
Rfam family: Bacterial small subunit ribosomal RNA
Source: RNAcentral
GUGGGGAAUAUUGGGCAAUGGGCGCAAGCCUGACCCAGCGACGCCGCGUGGGCGAUGAAGGCCUUCGGGUUGUAAAGCCCUGUCAUGCGGAAAGAACGACCCUGUGACGCAUACUCACAGGGAGUGACGGUACCGCAGGAGGAAGCACCGGCUAACUCCGUGCCAGCAGCCGCGGUAAUACGGAGGGUGCAAGCGUUGUUCGGAAUUAUUGGGCGUAAAGGGCGCGUAGGCGGUAAUGUAAGUCAGAUGUGAAAUACUCCGGCUCAACCAGAGAACAGCAUCUGAAACUGCAUAACUAGAGUACAGAAGAGGGAAACGGAAUUCCCGGUGUAGAGGUGAAAUUCGUAGAUAUCGGGAGGAACACCAGUGGCGAAGGCGGUUUCCUGGUCUGAUACUGACGCUGAGGCGCGAAAGCGUGGGGAGCAAACAGGAUUAGAAACCCUUGUAGUCC